Cervus elaphus (red deer) is the source of this 4242-nucleotide long non-coding RNA. RefSeq lists it as uncharacterized. The record is from RefSeq and is a predicted model, not a curated record. NCBI's taxonomy places the organism in Eukaryota, Metazoa, Chordata, Mammalia, Artiodactyla, Cervidae. The transcript is spliced from 3 exons.
UGACCGCUCCCCCCCACCCCCCACCAGGGAUCAUGAAUUCGCCGGGUAGAUUUUUCUCCUUGCGCCACCUUAGGGCACCCAGGUUUCCGCCCGGGGGGAACCUUCCUUUCCCCGAGCCUGGCAGUGCGCGGAGCGCAAACUUGGACCCAACUCUUUGUCCCUCUCCCCGGUGCCCGCGCGCGCGCGUAGGAGCGCAGGGGUCCCCACUGCGCGCUCAACCUCGCCCGGCCGCGCGCCUGCCAGGGCGGCUCCAAGUCCGCGGAGAGAGAGAGCCCGUUUUAUCAGCCUCUUUUAAAGGACUUGAAAUAAGUUGUUCAGGGGUCAUUCCGCGCGGGGGCUGGCUGCCUGCUGACGUCUCCAGUCCUUGGCUGGGGGGCGGGGGGGUGCGAACGCCUACGCGCAUUAACUCCGGGAAAGCUCGGAGUCAGGUCAGCCCGGCUCCUCACCCUCGGGCUUCUGACUCUGGCCCGAGUCUGGCCUUUGGGAUUCAUUUCUCUCUCUCAUACACACACACACAUACUCAUCCACCCCCUUAUGAAAUCUGACUCCUGUUUAUCAGGGUCCUGCGCGCCCUUUGCACUUUUACAUUUCACUUAAUUAUUUCAGACUUGAUCGUGGGGAGGAACGGGGGCGAAAAAAGAACCAACACCCCAGCCUUCACCAGCUCCCCUCGAAGGGUUAAGUUUUAAACCGCGGUUUCUCGGACGGGUCCGGAAACCCAGAGUGGGGGCUGGGGAGGACGGGAGUCGGGGCUGCUUCUCCCCUCGGGGGUGUUGCAGAUGCUAAUAACUGUUCAGUUUUCUCCAUCGAUUCUUCUAAAGCUUUGCAAAAAAAAAAAAAAAGAAAAGACAAGAAAAAGGAAGGAAAAAAAAGAAAGAAAAAACCAGCAACUCUGUUUCUAAGAUUUUAAAGCGAUAGGCCAGAUGGAGAAGCCGAGAUUUAUUUGAGGGAAAGCGAGAGGGCGCGGAGCCGACCCAGCGUUUGGAAGACCAGCCUGCCUGCCUGGAUGUUGGACUGUUGAUUCCUCUAAUUAAUGAAAUGCACUUGGUGUUAAUCAUAUUUAUCUUAUUUUAUGGGAGGGGGAGACGCUAGGAGGGUGCAUUAAAAAAAAAAAUCUGAAAAGCCUGCAAAACGGUCGAAGAGUGAAAACUAUUGUUGGACCGAGUUGGUUCUUACCUCAACAGCGCCACCUUUCGGCAAAGCACGGGCCGGCACAUGGUCAGCACAGCGGCCCAUGAGACCGUCAGGGGCCCAGGAGGACAUCUGCAUUUCUUCUAAAGUCAGAGUUAAAGAAGUGAAAAUCAUCGAGCAUGUAUCACAUCUGUCAUUAUACCAACACAGCUAUACAAUAUAAUCAGGUUUCCUUGCGGAAGAAGGAGUUCAUGGAAAGCAAAGUGAGUAGCACCCACACAAGUCUGCAUGGGGCCCUGACAGCAUGUACUUGAUUACCUCCAGUGACUGGGUGCUCACUGCCUCCCUAUUUUACCUUCCACCCUGUCCAUCUGUCUUCCCACAGUGCUGAGACUUGUCAGGAGAAGCUUUUUGUUUGUCUAGUAUCGAGUCGUAUCCCUUUCUUCUGUACAUGAGUCUAGAUUUUAAACACUUGAAAGGAUAUGAUGAGCCCUUACACCACUCGGGGUGUCCCAGGAGGAGAAGAUAGCCACUCUGACACCCUUUCCCCACCAUCCAUUCCUUUUCACUUCUGGACAUGGCCAGUGCCUUCAGCACGUUGAAAAAUGCCUGAAUUUCAAGUGCCCCUGCCUCCCGACUGCUGCCCUGCUCUUAGGGUUCAGAUUCCAGAGCUGAACCCAGAUCCCCAGGUGUGAGCGUCUCAUCACAGAGCAGGCACCGCCCUCCACCUCCGGGAGCCGCAGUCCGUCUGCUCCCGUGCAUGCCGUGACUUCCCCGGUCUCUCCGGCAGAUGCAGCCCAGCAGUGGCCCACCAGGGCUGGCCCCAGGCCUCUUCUCCUCGCCCCUCCCCACUCCUCCGUUUGUGGGCUUGCAUUUUUGAACCCAAGCAUUGAAACAUGCAAUGAUCUCCCGUAGGAUCCAUCCGUCUCCUUCUGUUGAGCCUGGUCCCUGCCUGUCCAAAUCUCUCUUCGGAUCUAGAAUGUGCCAACAACUAGGUUUAGUUUGCUUUCCACCUCUGUGGCAGCUGCCAAUGAAAUGGGUAUGCUUUUUCUGUGACUUCACCUCUCGGAAACAGGACCCUCACCUGCAAAAAGGGUGCUGGUCAGGGUCAGAGAUUGUGCCUGUGAAGUGUCUGCUCCACGGGAGGAUGCAGGGCAGCUCCCUCAGUGGCUGGAGCCCUUCUGCCCUUCCAGCCCUCCCUGAGCUGUUGAUGACAGCAUCACAGGGACCAAGCCUCGACGGCCCCUCUCAGCCCCUCAUCAACACACAAAAUGACUCGCUGGGUUAUUUGAGUCCCCUAGUGGACAUUCUAAAUGAAAUGGGCCUAAAACACCACCAAAUCAGCAGGGAAAUGCAAGUCAAAACUACCAUGAGCUAUCACCCCCCACCUGUUAGGAUAGCUAUUAUCAAAAAGACAAAAGAUAACGAGAGCUGGCAAGGACGCGGCAAAAAGGGAACUCUUGUGCGCUGUUGGCAGGAAUGUCAACUGGUGCAGCUACUGUGGAAAACAGUAUGGAGGCUUCUCAGAAAAUCAAAAACAGAACUACCAUAUGGUUCAGCAACUCCCCUUAUGGGUAUGUAUCCAAGGGAAAUGAAACCAGUAUCUCAAAGAGCCAUCUGGAGUCCCAUGUUUAUCACAGCAUUACUUACAAUAGCCAGGAUAUGGAAACAGCCUAAGUAUCCAUCCAUAGGUGAAGGGAUAAAGAGAAUCUGAUACAUGAUAUACAAGGGAAUAUUAUUCAGCCUUAAAAAAGAAAGUGAUCCUGCCAUCUGUGACAACGUGGAUGAACCUGGAGAACGCUGUACUAAGUGAAAUAAGCCAGACACAGAAAGACAAAUACCAUAUGAUCGCAUUUAUAUGUGGAAUCUGAAAAGGUCACACUUAACAGAAUCGAGAUUAGAACGGUGCUGAUGGCAGAGUAAAGGGUGGAGGAAAAUGGGGAGAAGUUGAUCCAAGGGUACAAAGUGUCAGUUAUGCAGGAGGUGUAUGACAAAUUGUACCUAUUGUACCUAUUGGAGAUCUACUUGACAGCAUGUUGGCUGUAAUGACCAAUACUGUACUGUAUACUGUGUAUUGUAAUUUGCUAAGAGAGUAGAUCUUAAGUGCUCUUAACACACCACACACACACACACACACACACACACACACACACACACACAAAGAAAAUAGUAACUGUGAUGUAAUGGAUGUAUUAACUAGUGUGGUUGUGGUGGUUAUUUCACAAUUUAUAUGCGUACCAGAACAUUACAGCGUAUACCUGAAAUAUGUGCAAUUUAUAUUUGUCAAUUUUGCCCCAAUAAAGUGGAAACAAUGGAACUGGCCUAUUUGGUAACUGGUUUCGUUUUAAACCCCAUGGGGAUGUCGUACACCUACGCUUCUAAUCAAUUCUAAAACAACUUUACUUUUUUUUAUGAUAUCGACACAGCUCUCUGUCAAGGAUGGCAGGUAACUUCGAUAGCUGUUUAAAGUUUCACCUGCUCUGACCUCUGUAAACCUCUGCCCUGUCAAAAUACACAGUAGUUGUCCAAAGCUGGGACCUCAGAGACUAAUAAAAAAUAGAUGUAACCUAGAAAACCUAAGCAGAAGAGCUCUGAGUGUGUAUAAAAGACUUUGCGGUGUGUUCCUUCCCCCUUGCUGCUUCUCUCGUUUCCACCACCACCUUCCCUGCCAUUUCCCAAUGCCAGUUUUGAAGCCGCGAGGCUCUGAGGCGCUUUCUUGAACAGAAGAGUUCAGAGUUGCCAGUGUCCACCUUUGAGCUGCCACUGGUCCCCCCGGCCCCUCCUGAAAGGAGCUCAACGUGCAGACUUUUGCAGACUCUGCCCUUUGUGGCUCCCUUCGCUUCUCCUUGCAGAGAAAGCUGGGCAUGAAAGCAGGAGGGAGCCGGUGAGCAUUUAUGACCGGUCGUCCAGGGUCUGUGUCCUGCUUGAGAGCUUGGGGCCGGCUGUCAGAGUGGACCAGGCGGAGUCGUCAUCGGGCCUGGAGGAAGGAUGGGGACUCUUGGACACCUUCAGAGCCUGUACAGGAAGCCGAGAGGGAUGGAGUCCUGUCCGGCAGCUGGUACUGAAGCGUCAGCUGGGGCAUAGCUCUCACUGCAGCAGCAGCUUGUCACA